GUUGAACUCCUCUGGGAAUAAAAACUCGACAGAGAGUGUUAUUCCUCACGGAGAGUCCAGGUCUGACAGCUUGUUUCUCACACUGUUAGCCGAGCAGGAGGUGGCAGGUGGCCACACCUACGAGAUCCAGCGCUAAGCGGCAUCUCUUAUUCACUCUGUCCGCCCUGCCUCUCGUCGUACCAGUAUCCAGUGCUGCUUUUGCUGCCGGAGGGUUUGGAAUAUCUUAGUAGAACAGUGACAGCUGUAAGGGAGUUCAAGUCUGGGUCAGAACAAGACCAAACCACACCCACCAUCCAGCAGAACGCAGCAGUGUCAAGGGCAAGAAUCCACACAACAGGUGCCCGUCAAGCCCGGAUUUGCAUGCAUUCAGACGGUAGCAGGCCCGGGCUCUGCAGUGGUAAGCUUUAGCAGUAACAAUGGUUUCACUGUUCACUGGGCUCUAUGCGAUCAUUAACACUGACUUUCUGAGACCACUCCUGCCCUGAAACCCCUAAAUCAACACUAUCACCUCACCUCUUCCUCCUCCUCCUCUUCCUCCUGCUCCAUUUGUGCCCUCGCUGGAUGCCACCUCCCUGUAUGGAGCUGUGCCAGUAUUUAGAAACAUGAAUUUGGGGCACACAGGUGGCUUUGUGGCAUGCUCAUGCAGAAUGUCUCCUCUCCAGGGAGUCUGAGGUGUUGAGGGAAAAGUAACCAAAACCAACCAGCCAAUAGUGGGAUCCUGUGUUACUGUCAUUUAACGAUCAUGAUGAUAACACCAUGACAGUUAUGUUUUGUUGAUGUUUAUACCCAUGUCCUGAGUGAAAUGCUUAUGUCAACUUUAUUUUCUAUAGUUGGAAUGACAAGUAGACACAAAUAUGAAUGUGAACUUGAACAGACACACAUAUGGAAUGAUGGAGCAAGUGCUGGGAUGCUAUUCUGAUAAUGUAAGAGUAUUGCAAGUAUAAGUCCUGCCAGCUGCAGCAAUUUAGUGGACGUCUUUUGCCUGUGAGCAUCGCAAAUGGUCACUACACAUGAAGAUAAUAUUGUAAAUGUAUGUAAAAUUGUGAUGCCGCAAAGUAACGUGUAUCUUUACCCAUAAAAUAUCAUAAUGGCGUAGAAUAAGAAGAACAUACCAUAAUGUGAAAACAGGGAAAAAAUAUCCUAAAAAAAAGGUAAACUUUAUUUAAAGAAGUAUCAUCAAAAUGUUCUUAAAGUAUCAAGAAAAUGAGGCAUCAUACUGAUCAGGCAAUACCUGUCUUUCAGUGCUUGAGGGGUCAUUUAAUUAGUUUUCAGUAUAUGUUAUUUAAACAGGAGUAAACAGAACACGUGUUGGGGACUAUUUUUAGCUGCUGAUAUUGACCUCCAGCGAGGUGUAUUUACCACUGUAAUAUUAACAGUUUAUAUGUGACUGAAAAUCAAAAUACACUUCAGUGCUCAUUUAUGUUUGUAAUCAGUCACAUCAAUGAGGUUCUGCAGCACAGAGAGAUAAGCAGCACCAAACUGUAUGCACAGACACUAUUUGUUAACAUGAUUAAUUAAUUGCUGGUUUUGUUCUAUUCAUGUGAUUAGUCAUCAGUAAGAAAAGAACACAGUGCUACAUA
Long non-coding RNA from Scatophagus argus, 1580 nucleotides. RefSeq lists it as uncharacterized. The transcript is spliced from 2 exons. The record is from RefSeq and is a predicted model, not a curated record. NCBI's taxonomy places the organism in Eukaryota, Metazoa, Chordata, Actinopteri, Scatophagidae.